Molecule: ribosomal RNA, 818 nt
Filed under: uncultured Staphylococcus sp.
Lineage: Bacteria; Bacillati; Bacillota; Bacilli; Caryophanales; Staphylococcaceae
Description: bacterial SSU rRNA
Rfam family: Bacterial small subunit ribosomal RNA
Source: RNAcentral
UCGAGCGAACAGACGAGGAGCUUGCUCCUCUGACGUUAGCGGCGGACGGGUGAGUAACACGUGGAUAACCUACCUAUAAGACUGGGAUAACUUCGGGAAACCGGAGCUAAUACCGGAUAAUAUAUUGAACCGCAUGGUUCAAUAGUGAAAGACGGUUUUGCUGUCACUUAUAGAUGGAUCCGCGCCGCAUUAGCUAGUUGGUAAGGUAACGGCUUACCAAGGCAACGAUGCGUAGCCGACCUGAGAGGGUGAUCGGCCACACUGGAACUGAGACACGGUCCAGACUCCUACGGGAGGCAGCAGUAGGGAAUCUUCCGCAAUGGGCGAAAGCCUGACGGAGCAACGCCGCGUGAGUGAUGAAGGUCUUCGGAUCGUAAAACUCUGUUAUUAGGGAAGAACAAAUGUGUAAGUAACUAUGCACGUCUUGACGGUACCUAAUCAGAAAGCCACGGCUAACUACGUGCCAGCAGCCGCGGUAAUACGUAGGUGGCAAGCGUUAUCCGGAAUUAUUGGGCGUAAAGCGCGCGUAGGCGGUUUUUUAAGUCUGAUGUGAAAGCCCACGGCUCAACCGUGGAGGGUCAUUGGAAACUGGAAAACUUGAGUGCAGAAGAGGAAAGUGGAAUUCCAUGUGUAGCGGUGAAAUGCGCAGAGAUAUGGAGGAACACCAGUGGCGAAGGCGACUUUCUGGUCUGUAACUGACGCUGAUGUGCGAAAGCGUGGGGAUCAAACAGGAUUAGAUACCCUGGUAGUCCACGCCGUAAACGAUGAGUGCUAAGUGUUAGGGGGUUUCCGCCCCUUAGUGCUGCAGCUAACGCAUU